GAAAAAGUUGGUGUGUUUUAGUCACCAUAUAAAAGUCUACUUGUAUGAUGUAUCUGAUAACAUUUGGAAAAAUCCAUGGUUGAAGUUUUGAAGGGAAAAAAAAAACUAGAAUACUAAUCCUGAUGAGACAGUGAUAACCCUUUUUUGCUAAACAUAAACAAAUAAACCUCCAUAUAAUCCUACACAUAGAGUCAUAGAGUCCAAAUUAAAUUCCGGCCCAAG
Molecule: long non-coding RNA, 222 nt
Filed under: Salvia miltiorrhiza (redroot sage)
Lineage: Eukaryota; Viridiplantae; Streptophyta; Magnoliopsida; Lamiales; Lamiaceae
Description: long non-coding RNA (SMIL_LNC003601)
Source: RNAcentral